AUGUUUGCCAAAGAGUGCAAAGUUUCAGUUACAUGGGAGGAAUCAGUUCUGGUGGUUUAUUGCAAAACAUGGUGACUAUAGUUAAUGUACUAUGUAUUUCAAAACAUCUAAAAGAAAAGAUUUUAAGUGUUCUCACUACAAAGCAAUGAUAAAUAUUUGAGAUGCUGAACUUUUUAAUACUUACAUUCUUAAGUUUUUCAAGGCUUUUCUAAUAAGUCUGGCAUUCCUGCCCUUGGCAGUGUGAGAUGGAAGAUGAUGUCGCAAGGGUGGCCGAGAAGCAGCUGGGCUGAGCUGCUAAAAGCACAGAGACCGGGGCCAGACUCCUCAGCCUGAAAUCCUGCUUCCACUAAGUACCAGCUGGGUAACUUCAGGCAUCAGUCCUGCCAUGGUUCACACCAGCAGUGCAGCCCGUGCUCAUGGAGGUGAAGUGAGAGACUGGCCUGCAAGAGUGACACAUACAGAGAAGCGGAGGUGGAGCCCAGUUGACAGGAAAUGUUUCUCCAGAAGCUGAAAAGCUGCCUGGUAAAGGCCUUUCAUAAAAUGGUCUGCGUUUGGGACCAGGAAGACAGAAGACUCCUCAAGAAGAGAACUGGAACCUUAACCCACUUCAGACUUCUUCAUGUCUGAAGCUUAUUUCCACCAUCCCAUUGAGAACCAAAGAAGCGAGCUCCUUGGAGAAUCGGCUCCCACCUGGACCUUCUGUUUAUCCUUCCAAUAGCUGCUGCAUUCAUCCUUCCCAGCUAAUGACACUUCCAGCCUUUCGUGUUUCAAAGUAUCACGGACUUUGCAAAAGAUUCCAGGUUUCUAUGGAGCAGAUAGUACUUUUAACAAUCAACAUGUGCAUUAUUAUUUCCUCCUAAGGCAUACUUAGACAUCAAUGCAUGCUACAGCAAGGCAACUUAUCUCACCCUCACCAAGAUAUUCUGCACUUUCAGUGGCAAAAUUUUAAAGAAAAGGAGACAAAAUGGAACACAAAUUCAAUAUGACUAUUGUCAUCCUUCCCUCCCAGGAAGUGUAGGAAUCAUCCAAAGUGGUAAAAGAGCAGCGCUUCUAAACUCUGACUUCACAUGGAAAAUAACGCGACUACUAAAACUGAUAACAAUAGCAGUCCAUGCCAUUUGACAGGGGUGUGUAGGAGAGGUGGUGAGCAAGCUGAAAUCCCUUCAGGUAUUUGCAGAACUUCUGAGCAAAAGCUAAAGCUAAAAUUAACAUUAAAUAUGCAAAGUAUUUUUAACCCAACAUAAAUUAACAAUGUUCCUAUUUCAAUUCUAUUGCUCUUGGGAUGACUAUGUCCUUUGGAAAAUGUUUAAAUAACUUAAGAUUUCCGUCAUGAGUUUACUAUUUCAAAACUUAUUUUUUUAACUGCAAGAUACCUUUUUAUGUUACCAGGAGUGUUACCAGCUAGCUGCCAAAACCUGGUUGAAGUUCUCCCACUUUAUAUUGUAAAUGAUUACAUAGUUUAUUAGUAAUUGUGUCCCCUGUCCACCCACUGGUCCAUUUGGAUGGGAAAAUUUUCAAAAUAACUUCAUAAGAAAAUGAUAAGAAAAAUGUGGUCACCGGUAUCAUGAGGAACUUCCAGACAGCUCAGCACAGAAAAGUUGGUUUUAAAGUCCUCGAAAACGUUACUGGUAAUGAGCUUCCACUCCUUUAGUCGUUGUGCAUAGAUACACCACAGAGUAAGGUUAUAAAAAUAAAAGUUGUUUCAGGAAAUUUCCCAUUGCUUUAUUACAUGAUCAAUGAGAGUAAAGAGAAAUGGAAGUUGACGGGAUAGGAAUGAGGGACCUGCUGGAAGAGUGAUCACAAUAUCCAAAGGAAAUUUAAAAUGCCUGUUGAAAGUGACACACUGACUCAGCAUUGUCACUAACACAGAAUCACCACAAUAAAACUGCCCUGCCCUGUGGCUCCUGGCACCUCAUGUCUCUUUAGGUUAAGCAGAGAGAGGUCUGUGUUGCUUUGGAACAAGGUGCAGCCUCCCCCUAAGCUACAGAGAGGCUCUGAGCAAGGACCAGCCCCCAGGGUGCAGCCUUGCCCACCCUCCACAGGCUCCAGAGCAGAUGGGGUGGCUCUAGAGAGCAAAUGGUCAAAACUUCUAGCGCUAAAUAGAGCUUUAACAUGUCUCAGAUACUAGCAAAAUAGAGAAGCCUCAGAUGGCUUUAGGUCUGGAAGUGUGUUGCUAAAAAUGCUAAAAAUUUAACAAACUUUUAUAAAUCCUUAAGAGAUCUUUUUCAGUUUUCUGAAGUACCGUUAAUUGCCCAUGUGUUUCAACUUGCAGACAGGCAAGAAUUUGGCUUUGUAUGUUUAAAAAUAUGUACAUCUUGGUUCAUAAUGAUGAUUUAUUUCCAAAAUGGUGACUCAUACUAGGAUUACAUAUAAAACAUCAUAUGUGGGCCUUAUAUGUAAUAAUGUGUAAGUAUAGUAUAUUAAUUACUCUGACAUAACAUGGGCAGAGAUUUGUAUUAAUUUAUUUCUAUUUCAUCUAAUCAAUAUUUUACUUAAGUCUAAAACCUUAUAUAUAUAUUGACAUGUAUCAUCGUAUAUAUAAACAUUGUAUCUAUUGAACUGAGCAAUCUGUAGUUUAUUUUAAAUUCUGAUACAUUAAAGAUGUGGAGAACUACAUGAAAUCAUAGGAAAUUUUUCAUUCAAAUAAAAAUUGCAAAGAGCCAUUCCUAAAU
Molecule: long non-coding RNA, 2672 nt
Filed under: Homo sapiens (human)
Lineage: Eukaryota; Metazoa; Chordata; Mammalia; Primates; Hominidae
Description: PREDICTED lncRNA (TCONS_00255395)
Source: RNAcentral